AGAUAGGUGUCUGACCACCAAAUGUUCCUGUUUUGCCCACAAGUGGCAGCUCCGCCAGGGAAUGCAUAUUUCAUCUAGGAUUAGAAGUUUUAAGAUGUGUGAAAAUGGUUGAACCAUCUACAAGAACUCUAAAAAUCCAAAGAAGAAAUGUUGAUGAGGAAAAUCAAAUGGACUAUUAUACUGAAAUAAGACUUACUAUUGACGAUGAUAAAGAUGGAUAAAAAAUGGAAUAAUGAGAAAAAUAACCGGAAACAUUAAGCCACCCCGGAUGUGGAUGUGUGAGAAGCCAGCCCACUUCGUGGAUGAGCGUAGGUGUCUGCCUUCCAGAGAGCGGGGCUGCAGGCCGAAACGCCCAAACUGCUACCAGAAGACACACUCCUGUUUGUGAAUGAUGGCUUCUGCAUCACUUAGCUUUGUUGGGGGUGAAGGGAGAUCCUAGUAUAAGAUUUGUUGAUUUUCUCAGAGUAUAGCUGACGACAAAGGCCUGUGAAUUCCCAAACACUUGCCCUUCGACGUGAGGAACCUUCUGCAGUAUCUCCAGUGAGACAUUGCCCAGGGGAGUCAUGCACAAGUGGGCAGUCUCUUAUUCUGACCAGAAAUGAGGUACGUAACCAUACAUUCAUAGAUAUUGCUCAGGAACCCAGGCAAAAAUUAUAAUCCCCCUUGUCAUGUUAGACACUGCAAAAGCUGGGUUAGAGUUCCGAAUCUGCCCUUUUGAAGCUGUAUAACCCCACUCAAAGUAUUUGAUUUUUGAACCUUGAUUUCCUUAUCUGCAGAAUGGAGAUAAUGCCUACCUCACAGCGCUAUUGUGAGUGUUAAAUGAAAAAAUGUAUGGAAAUUUGCCACCAGUAACAAAAGAACAUGGGGACAAGUGACUAUUGCAAAGUUAAAGUAUGUGCAGUACCUGGAAAGUAUGGAAAGUACCUGACACAAGAAUGUAUUGCUAAUGCCCAGAGAAGUGGAGAGGCAGGUCAUCUCUGUUGCCAGCUUAAAGUCUCCUGGUGCAUUUUCUCUCAAAAAGUGAAGCAAACCCGGUCACUGGAAUGUGAGGAACAUAGUGAUGGCACCAAGAACCCCCAUCCGGCCCCCCGUAGAAGCCCUCCAAAGGAAGGAAAAGGGACUCUCGGGUGGCUGGUAAGAUGGCCGAAUAAGAACAGCUCCAGUCUGCAGUUCCCAGCAAGAUCAACACAGAAGGUGAGUGAUUUCUACAUUUCCAACUGAGGUACCCGGCUCAUCUCAUUGGGACUGGCUAGACAGUGGGUGCAGCCCACACAGGGUGAGCAGAAGCAGGGUGGGGUGUCGCCUCAUCCAGGAAGUGCAAGGAGUCAGGGAACUCCUUCCCCAGUUAAGGGAAGCCAUAAGGGAUUGUGGCAUGAGGAACAGUGUAUUCCGGCACAGAUACUACACUUUUCCCAAGGUCUUCGCAAACCACAGGCCAGCAGAUUCCUCAGGUGCCUACACCACCAGGGCGCUGGGUUUCAAGCACAAAACUGGGCAGCUGUUUGGGCAGACACCGAGCUAGCUGCAGGAGUAUUUUUGUUUUUUUUUUUUUUUUUUUCAUACCCCAGUGGUGCCUGGAAAACCAGUGAGACAGAAUCUUUCACUCCUCUGGAAUGGGGACUGAAGCCAGGGAGCCAAGUGGUCUAGCUCAGCAGAUCCCACCCCCAUGGAGCCCAGAAAGUUAAGAUCCACUGGCUUAAAAUUCUCACUGCCAACACAGCAGUCUGAAGUCGACCUGGGACACUGGAGCUUGGUGGUGGGGGGGGCAUCCACCAUUACUAAGGCUUGAAUAAGCCGUUUUCCCCUCACAGUGUAAACAAAGCUGCCAGGAAGUUCAAACUGGGCAGAGCCCAGUGCAGCUUGGCAAAGCCACUGUAGCCAGCCUGCCUCUCUAGAUUCCUCCUGUCUGGGCAGGGCAUCUCUGAAAGAAAGGCAGCAGCCCCAGUCAGAGGCUUAGAGAUAAAACUCCCGUCUCCCUGGGACAGAGCACCUGGGGGAAGGGGCAGCUGUCUUGAGUCAUUGGGAGCAUUAAUGAGGAAAGAAGCAGACUUAAACAUUCCUGCGUGUCAGUUCUGAAGACAGCAGUGGAUCUCCCAGCCCAGCGCUCAAGUUCUGCUAAGGGACAGGCUGCUUCUUCAAGUGGGCCCCUGACCCUUGUGCCUCCUGAAUGGGAGACAUCUCACAGCAGGGGUCGACAGACACCUCAUACAGGAGAGCUCUGGCUGACAUGUGGUGGGUCUCUCUCUGGGACGAAGCUUCCAGAGGAAUGAACAGGCAGCAAUCUUUGCUGUUUUGCAGCCUCCGCUGGUGAUAGUCAGGCAAACGGGGUCUGGAGUGGACCUCCAGCAAACUCCAGCAGACCUGGAGCAGAUGGGCCUGACUGUUAGAAGGAAAACUAACAAACAUAAAGGAAUAGCAUCAACAUCAACAAAAAGGAUGUCCACACAAAAACCCUAUCCAAAGGUCACCAACACCAAAGACUGAAGGUAGAUAAAUCCACGAAGAUGAGAAAAAACUAGCACAGAAAGGCUGAAAAUUCCAAAAACAAGAACAUCUCUUCUCCUUCAAAGGAUCACAACUUCUUACCAGCAAGGGAACAAAACUGGACAGAGAAUGAGUUUGACGAAUGGACAGAAGUGGGAUUCAGAAGGUGGGUAAUAACAAACUCCUCUGAGCUAAAGGAGCGUGUUCUAACCCAUUGCAAGAUAGCUAAGAACCUUGAAAAAAGGUUAGAGGAAUUGCUUUCUAGAAUAAUCAGUUCAGAGAAGAACAUAAAUGACCUGAUAGAGCUGAAAAACACAGCAAGAGAACCUAGUGAAGCAUACACAAGUAUCAGUAGCCAAAUCAAUUAAGCAGAAGAAAGGAUAUCAGAGAUUAAAGAUCAACUUAAUGAAAUAAAGUAUGAAGACAAGAUUGGAGAGAAAAUAAUAAAAUGGAAUGAACAAAGCCUUCAAGAAAUAUGGGACUAUGUGAAAAGACCAAGCCUAUGUUUGAUUGGUGUACAUGAAAGUGAUGGGGAGAAUGGAACCAAGUUGGAAAAACUCUUCAGGAUAUUAUCCAGGAGAACUUCCCCAACCUAGCAAGGCAGGUCAACAUUCCAUUUCAAGAAAUACAGAGAACAUCACAGAUACUUCUCAAGAAGAGCAACCCCAAGACACAUAAUCAUCAGAUUCACCAAGGUUGAAAUGAAGGAAAAAAUGUUAAGCAAAGCCAGAGAGACAGGUUGGGUUACCCACAAAGGGAAGCCCAUCAGACUAACAGCAGGUCUCUUGGCAGAAACCUACAAGCCAGAAGAGAGUGUGGGCCAAUAUUCAACAUUCUUAAAGAAAAGAAUUUUCAACCCACAAUUUGAUAUCCAGCCAAACGAACCUUCAUAAGGGAAGGAGAAAUAAAAUCCUUUACAGACAAACAAAUGCUAAGAGAUUUUGUCACCACCAGGCCUGCCUUACAAGAGCUCCUGAAAGAAGCACUAAAUAUGGAAAGGAAAAAGCGGUACCAGACAUUGCAAUAACGUACCAAAUUGUAAAGACCAUCGACACUAUGAAGAAACUGCAUCAACUAAUGGGCAA
Long non-coding RNA from Papio anubis (olive baboon), 3569 nucleotides. The record is from Ensembl. NCBI's taxonomy places the organism in Eukaryota, Metazoa, Chordata, Mammalia, Primates, Cercopithecidae.